GGGGGUGAUAGGUCUCGACUUGAGAUGUUAUUGUCUAAGUGGCGUGCCGAGGAAGCCUGGUUGGCCUCGUUAAUCAUCCGGGCACAAAACAAAUGCUAACAAUAAAAUGUUAACAUCCAGCGAUGCUGAAUUAGCCUUUGCAACGAGCGAUGCUCCUGCAGGCGGUUCUGCAAAGCUUCAAACAGUCUAAGCUUAUACUAUAAGUUUAGCCCUUUUACAGAUCAUGCCUGUGGUUUUGUAAAAGGUCCUUUACAGGCUAGCGUAAUUUCCGCCGAGGGAAUUAUUGCGAAAGCAUAAGGCUGGUUCCGUUGAAUUUUGUUUGUUGAAGCUGACGGAAUGAGAUUAAAAGACAAACUAUGCAUGUAGAAGCUUAUGCAAAGCGCUUCAAGGACCCGGGUUCGAUUCCCGGCACCUCCAUUC
This 420-nucleotide transfer-messenger RNA is filed under the name Candidatus Omnitrophota bacterium. It matches the Rfam family "transfer-messenger RNA". From Rfam's summary of the family: Bacterial tmRNA, also known as 10Sa RNA or SsrA, is named for its dual tRNA and mRNA-like properties. Its role is to liberate the mRNA from a stalled ribosome. The record is from RNAcentral. Lineage: Bacteria; Pseudomonadati; Candidatus Omnitrophota.